GACGAACGCUGGCGGCGUGCUUAACACAUGCAAGUCGAACGGAAAGGCCCUGCUUUUGUGGGGUGCUCGAGUGGCGAACGGGUGAGUAACACGUGAGUAACCUGCCCUUGACUUUGGUAUAACUUCAGGAAACUGGGGCUAAUCCCGGAUAGGAGCUCCUGCUGCAUGGUGGGGGUUGGAAAGUUUCGGCGGUUGGGGAUGGACUGGCGGCUUAUCAGCUUGUUGGUUGGGUAGUGGCUUACCAAGGCUUUGACGGGUAGCCGGCCUGAGAGGGUGACCGGCCACAAUGGGACUGAGAUACGGCGCAGACUCCUAUGGGAGGCAGUAGUGGGGAAUAUUGCACAAUGGGCGGAAGCCUGAUGCAGCAACGCCGCGUGCGGGAUGACGGCCUUCGGGUAGUAAAACGCUUUCGCCUGUGACGAAGCGGGAGUGACGGUAAUGGGUAAAGAAGCACCGGCUAACUACGUG
RNAcentral lists this ribosomal RNA (468 nucleotides) under uncultured bacterium. RNAcentral describes it as "partial 16S ribosomal RNA". It matches the Rfam family "Bacterial small subunit ribosomal RNA", at positions 28 to 507 of the family's 1533-position model. The record is from RNAcentral.